RNAcentral lists this ribosomal RNA (248 nucleotides) under uncultured bacterium. RNAcentral describes it as "partial 16S ribosomal RNA". It matches the Rfam family "Bacterial small subunit ribosomal RNA", at positions 523 to 769 of the family's 1533-position model. The record is from RNAcentral.
AUACGGAGGAUCCAAGCGUUAUCCGGAUUUAUUGGGUUUAAAGGGUGCGUAGGCGGACUUUUUAAGUCAGUGGUGAAAGUUUGCAGCUCAACUGUAAAAUUGCCGUUGAAACUGAAGGUCUUGAGUGUAAAUAAGGUAGGCGGAAUGUGUUGUGUAGCGGUGAAAUGCAUAGAUAUAACACAGAACUCCAAUUGCGAAGGCAGCUUACUGGGAUACAACUGACGCUGAGGCACGAAAGCGUGGGGAUC